CGCUUCCUGUCGGCUCUCUCUUUUUCUUACAGCGUGGCUGAAGCUGGAUCGUGGAUGCGCGCUGGGCUCGAUGGCAUCUCAGGUGGCGGCUGUGAGCUCCCCCAUGGCAAGCCAGGCUUUGUGUUAUGUCGAGAGGAGGCCGCUGGCCUCUGAAAUCCAGCGAGGAGAUGGUGAUGAGAAGGCCUCCCUCUAUCAGAUCCUGCUUGAGCUCAUGGAUGCUGUGAAUCGCCUUCCUGAGCCGACCUCAGCUGGAUCUCCUUCCUGCCCUUCAGGAAGCUCAGAGGCUCCUUGGAGCCUGCAAUAGGAAGUUGUGGAUGAACCAGUUUCUUCUGGGGAGGAGCCUAAAGCCCCCAGUGAAGCCACAGAUGCCCACAGAGAAGGGAGAUCCUGUGAAAGUUCAGAAGUCGCAAAGGCCUUGCUCAACAUCUACUUGGGGCACUGCUGGGGCUUGGCCCACAUCUGACGACUCCUUCAACGAUAACCUUCUCUCCAGAACCUGACUCCUUUUGAUGGCAGCGAGGGGCAGAGGCAUGGGACUUGUAUAACUGCCCGCAUCUGACAGAACAGUGGGGAGGAGAACUGGGAUGCUGUGGAAGCAUCCGACUUUUCAGGAUUCCUCAAGUGAAUACCUCUCAUUUCCUGGCAUUGCAUCAGGUGCAAGACCCAUUGAAGUGAAUGAAUGUGACUAAUUGGGGCAUGUUGAUUUCAAUGAGCCUACUCUUGAGUUCAGCUUAGCUGCACAACACUUGAAGUCCCUCCUUAUGGCUUACCUCUUCUGGGAAGCCUUUGGCAAAUAUGCACAGGUACCUUUGUAAUUAAGACCAGGGUUGUUGUCGUCGUCAUUGUCAUCUGCCCUUCUCUCAAAGGUCCCAGGGCAGGUUAGGGCAUUAACCCUCCCAUUAUAUGUCAAGGAGAUAAAGCACUACACAACUUUGAGAAGACAUCUGAAGGCAGCCCUGUUUCAGGAAGUUUUUAAUGUUUGAUGUUUAGUAUUUAUAUUCUGCUAGAAGCCGCUCAGAGCAGCUGGGGAAACCCAGCCAGAUGGGUGGGGAAUAAUAACAACAACAACAAAAAAUAAUAAUUUAUUACUUAUACCCUGCUGAUUUGGCCAGGUGUCCCCAGCCACUCUGGGCAGCUCCCAACAGAAUAUUAAAAGCAUGAUAAAACAUCAAACAUUAAAAACUUUACUAAACAGGGCUGCCUUCAAAAAGUCAGAUGGUUGUUUCUAACCUCACUUCUUGCAUGGAGGGAACUGCCAGAAGGCCCUGGGAGCUGGACCUCAGUGUCCGGGCUGAACGAUGGGGGUGGAGAUGCUCAUCAAUAAUGUAUUCUAAGUAUACGUAUUUGGAAUUAUCAUCUGCCUCCUCUUGAACCCCGUUCCUUCUUAUUAAAUUUAUUACCCGUCCAUCAUCAUCAGGUUCCAGGGUGGGUUACAACAAUUUAAAAUUCAGUCUUAAAUUCAAGUUGAAGCAGAUUAGAGACACAAUAAUAUUGGUGGGGCCCUGAAAACAAACAUCUCGGGUGUCUAAAGGUGUGGGGAAGGAGGAACCCUCCAGGAGUUGUUUAACUGCACCUCCCAGCAUCCCUGGCUGUUGGUUGUGCCUCCUUUUGUUUCCUUACAUCUGUUCUAGAUUAUAAGAUGCUUGUGGCAGGGACUUGCCGUACCUGUUCUUUGUAAAGCCCCAUGUUCAUAGUGCUGUAUGACUGCUGCUAUGAUUGCAACAAUAAAAUAAUCAAAGGCAUUUAAGACUGAGCUGAUCCUCCAGGGCAGCUGAGGCGUUAUUUUUUUGUUUUUAUUUUGUGCACUGGGUGAUGUUCACAAUUAAUGUGGAAGCUCAGGCACCACCCAACACUUAUGCUGGUGCCGGAAACCCAGAAGAGUGUGUUGGGGGAAGAGCCGUCGGCUUGUGAGGAUAAGGAAGAAGUCAUAAGUAGCGAAAUCUGCAAGGUGAAUGUUUCAUCAAAUCAUUGACUGCUUCUGUGUAACCACCAUCACUUUAUUUGUAGGGCGACCUUUGCACAAAUAAACCACGCUCAAAGUGGCUUACAACAACGUAUCAUGAAAUCAGCAAUUGCAAGCAUGGUUUCAUAAUAUUGUAGCAACAAAUUUGAGUGGACGUAACAGCAUACAAAAAACAAGGAAACAGCACUACUGUAAGUGUAACCACAUUGCGCCUUCUGGCAGGAACGCAAGCAUUAAAGCAGUUGAAACAUUUUUGCCUUGGUUCUAGAUGUUCUAGCUGCUGCUGCUAUGUCAGCUACAGAGAAUCAGGUUAGUCAGAUCAAAUGUCUAAGGACUCAGCUAAAAAGGUAAAGGACCCCUGACAGUUAAGUUCAGUCACGAGCGACUCUAGGGUUGCGAUGCUCAUCUCGCUUUACUGGCCGAGGGAACCGACGUUUGUCCGCAGACAGUUUUCCCGGGUCAUGUGGCCAGCAUGACUAAGCCGCUUCUGGCGAAACCAGAGCAGCUACUUGCACUUUGACAUGCUUUUGAACUGCUGUGUUGGCAGGAGCUGGGACAGA
This is a long non-coding RNA of Podarcis raffonei (Aeolian wall lizard), 2523 nucleotides long. RefSeq lists it as uncharacterized. The transcript is spliced from 3 exons. NCBI's taxonomy places the organism in Eukaryota, Metazoa, Chordata, Lepidosauria, Squamata, Lacertidae. The record is from RefSeq and is a predicted model, not a curated record.